AGGCUUUGAAGUGUGGACGCCAGUCUGCAUGGAGCCGACCUUGAAAUACCACCCUUUAAUGUUUGAUGUUCUAACGUGGACCCGUGAUCCGGGUUGCGGACAGUGUCUGGUGGGUAGUUUGACUGGGGCGGUCUCCUCCUAAAGAGUAACGGAGGAGCACGAAGGUUGGCUAAUCCUGGUCGGACAUCAGGAGGUUAGUGCAAUGGCAUAAGCCAGCUUGACUGCGAGCGUGACGGCGCGAGCAGGUGCGAAAGCAGGUCAUAGUGAUCCGGUGGUUCUGAAUGGAAGGGCCAUCGCUCAACGGAUAAAAGGUACUCCGGGGAUAACAGGCUGAUACCGCCCAAGAGUUCAUAUCGACGGCGGUGUUUGGCACCUCGAUGUCGGCUCAUCACAUCCUGGGGCUGAAGUAGGUCCCAAGGGUAUGGCUGUUCGCCAUUUAAAGUGGUACGCGAGCUGGGUUUAGAACGUCGUGAGACAGUUCGGUCCCUAUCUGCCGUGGGCGCUGGAGAACUGAGGGGGGCUGCUCCUAGUACGAGAGGACCGGAGUGGACGCAUCACUGGUGUUCGGGUUGUCAUGCCAAUGGCACUGCCCGGUAGCUAAAUGCGGAAGAGAUAAGUGCUGAAAGCAUCUAAGCACGAAACUUGCCCCGAGAUGAGUUCUCCCUGAGACUUUAGGUCUCCUGAAGGAACGUUGAAGACGACGACGUUGAUAGGCCGGGUGUGUAAGCGCAGCGAUGCGUUGAGCUAACCGGUACUAAUGAACCGUGAGGCUUAACCUU
Molecule: ribosomal RNA, 779 nt
Filed under: Salmonella enterica
Lineage: Bacteria; Pseudomonadati; Pseudomonadota; Gammaproteobacteria; Enterobacterales; Enterobacteriaceae
Also listed under: 1 other name
Description: partial 23S ribosomal RNA
Rfam family: Bacterial large subunit ribosomal RNA
Source: RNAcentral